Molecule: ribosomal RNA, 253 nt
Filed under: uncultured bacterium
Lineage: Bacteria
Description: partial 16S ribosomal RNA
Rfam family: Bacterial small subunit ribosomal RNA
Source: RNAcentral
UACGAAGGGAGCUAGCGUUGUUCGGAAUCACUGGGCUUAAAGGGCGCGUAGGCGGGCUGCCAAGUUCGGGGUGAAAUCCUCCCGCUUAACGGGAGAACGGCCUCGAAUACUGGCGGUCUCGAGGGAGGUAGGGGCGUGCGGAACUAUGGGUGGAGCGGUGAAAUGCGUUGAUAUCCAUAGGAACUCCGGUGGCGAAGGCGGCACGCUGGACCUCUUCUGACGCUGAGGCGCGAAAGCCAGGGGAGCAAACGGG